RNAcentral lists this ribosomal RNA (310 nucleotides) under uncultured bacterium. RNAcentral describes it as "bacterial SSU rRNA". It matches the Rfam family "Bacterial small subunit ribosomal RNA", at positions 28 to 349 of the family's 1533-position model. The record is from RNAcentral.
GAUAAACGCUGGCGGCGUGCCUAACACAUGCAAGUCGAACGCCCUUUUGCGCAAGUGAGAGGGAGUGGCGGACGGGUGAGUACCACGUGGGUACCUACCUUGAGGUGAGGAAUACCACCGAGAAAUCGGUGACAAGACCGCAUACGCUCGGGCAACCGAGCAAAGUCAUGCAAAUGACGCCACAAGAUGAGCCUGCGCCUGAUUAGCUGGUUGGUGAGGUAACAGCUCACCAAGGCGACGAUCAGUAGCUGGUCUGAGAGGAUGAUCAGCCACACUGGGAUUGAGAACGGCCCAGACUCCUACGGGGGNG